GCAGUCGAACGAGCUUCCGUUGAAUGACGUGCUUGCACUGAUUUUAACAAUGAAGCGAGUGGCGAACUGGUGAGUAACACGUGGGAAAUCUGCCCAGAAGCAGGGGAUAACACUUGGAAACAGGUGCUAAUACCGUAUAACAACAAAAUCCGCAUGGAUUUUGUUUGAAAGGUGGCUUCGGCUAUCACUUCUGGAUGAUCCCGCGGCGUAUUAGUUAGUUGGUGAGGUAAAGGCCCACCAAGACGAUGAUACGUAGCCGACCUGAGAGGGUAAUCGGCCACAUUGGGACUGAGACACGGCCCAAACUCCUACGGGAGGCAGCAGUAGGGAAUCUUCCACAAUGGACGAAAGUCUGAUGGAGCAAUGCCGCGUGAGUGAAGAAGGGUUUCGGCUCGUAAAACUCUGUUGUUAAAGAAGAACACCUUUGAGAGUAACUGUUCAAGGGUUGACGGUAUUUAACCAGAAAGCCACGGCUAACUACGUGCCAGCAGCCGCGGUAAUACGUAGGUGGCAAGCGUUGUCCGGAUUUAUUGGGCGUAAAGCGAGCGCAGGCGGUUUUUUAAGUCUGAUGUGAAAGCCUUCGGCUUAACCGGAGAAGUGCAUCGGAAACUGGGAGACUUGAGUGCAGAAGAGGACAGUGGAACUCCAUGUGUAGCGGUGGAAUGCGUAGAUAUAUGGAAGAACACCAGUGGCGAAGGCGGCUGUCUAGUCUGUAACUGACGCUGAGGCUCGAAAGCAUGGGUAGCGAACAGGAUUAGAUACCCUGGUAGUCCAUGCCGUAAACGAUGAGUGCUAAGUGUUGGAGGGUUUCCGCCCUUCAGUGCUGCAGCUAACGCAUUAAGCACUCCGCCUGGGGAGUACGACCGCAAGGUUGAAACUCACAGGAAUUGACGGGGGCCCGCACAAGCGGUGGAGCAUGUGGUUUAAUUCGAAGCUACGCGAAGAACCUUACCAGGUCUUGACAUCUUCUGCCAAUCUUAGAG
This 983-nucleotide ribosomal RNA is filed under the name Levilactobacillus brevis. RNAcentral describes it as "bacterial SSU rRNA". It matches the Rfam family "Bacterial small subunit ribosomal RNA", at positions 57 to 1005 of the family's 1533-position model. The record is from RNAcentral. Lineage: Bacteria; Bacillati; Bacillota; Bacilli; Lactobacillales; Lactobacillaceae.